This 512-nucleotide ribosomal RNA is filed under the name uncultured bacterium. RNAcentral describes it as "partial 16S ribosomal RNA". It matches the Rfam family "Bacterial small subunit ribosomal RNA", at positions 28 to 523 of the family's 1533-position model. The record is from RNAcentral.
GACGAACGCUGGCGGCGUGCCUAAUACAUGCAAGUCGAGCGGAACUGGGGGAGCUUGCUCCUUCCAGUUUAGCGGCGGACGGGUGAGUAACACGUGGGCAACCUGCCCUGCAGAUCGGGAUAACUCCGGGAAACCGGUGCUAAUACCGAAUAGUUUGGCGCCUCUCCUGAGGCGCUACGGAAAGACGGUUUCGGCUGUCACUGGAGGAUGCGCCGGGGGCGAAUUAGCUAGUUGGUGGGGUAACGGCCCACCAAGGGGACGAUGCCUAGCCGACCUGAGAGGGUGACCGGCCACACUGGGACUGAGACACGGCCCAGACUCCUACGGGAGGCAGCAGUAGGGAAUCUUCCGCAAUGGACGCAAGUCUGACGGAGCAACGCCGCGUGAGUGACGAAGGUUUUCGGAUCGUAAAACUCUGUUGUGAGGGAAGAACACGUACCAACUAACUAUUGGUACCUUGACGGUACCUCACCAGAAAGCCACGGCUAACUACGUGCCAGCCGCCGCCGUAA